GGAACGUAAAACCUAGGUGGAUAGUCUAGCGAACUAAGUCUUAGGCGACUUUUCCUGUCUCGAUACAUCGUUCCAUAACUGUUUAUCCAGAUCUUGCAAAUCGAUCUAAACUCUCCAAAAAUCGAGAAACGAUCGCCACACAUAUCAAGCUCGCUUCCUAAGGAGAGAAAAAACUAGAGACAUCAACGUCGUCUUAAAACUGAUUCGUUUCUGGCCAUUUUCUCGGAACCGACAUAUUCCAAGUUGUCAACGUGGAAACAACAAAAUCACAGUCCAAGCGUUGUCUUUAAAUCGUCCCGGAUUAUCGAUUAUUCCAAACCUCAGAAGAAGAAACGUACACAACCCUUCAAAGUAUCGGCUCAAUUGUUUUAUUUCGUAAAAAAAAAAAAAAAAAAGAGGAGUAGGUUCGUAUACUAUACUCGUUUACUCCAGAACUUCAAAAUCUUUUGCAAAUCGUCAAGAAAACGAUUUUGUCAAAGCAAAUCGUCCCAAAUAGGCAAACGACAAUCUAAAAUUCGUCUAAACGCUAGUAACAUAUCC
This 540-nucleotide long non-coding RNA is filed under the name Brassica rapa (field mustard). Its description in RNAcentral is "long non-coding RNA (BRAP_LNC000438)". Lineage: Eukaryota; Viridiplantae; Streptophyta; Magnoliopsida; Brassicales; Brassicaceae. The record is from RNAcentral.